This 230-nucleotide ribosomal RNA is filed under the name uncultured Sphingomonadales bacterium. RNAcentral describes it as "partial 16S ribosomal RNA". It matches the Rfam family "Bacterial small subunit ribosomal RNA", at positions 87 to 334 of the family's 1533-position model. Lineage: Bacteria; Pseudomonadati; Pseudomonadota; Alphaproteobacteria; Sphingomonadales. The record is from RNAcentral.
CGGCCUUAGUGGCGCACGGGUGCGUAACGCGUGGGAAUCUGCCCCUCGGUUCGGAAUAACAGUUGGAAACGACUGCUAAUACCGGAUGAUGACGUAAGUCCAAAGAUUUAUCGCCGAGGGAUGAGCCCGCGUAGGAUUAGCUAGUUGGUGUGGUAAAGGCGCACCAAGGCGACGAUCCUUAGCUGGUCUGAGAGGAUGAUCAGCCACACUGGGACUGAGACACGGCCCAG